GAUGAACGCUGGCGGCGUGCCUAACACAUGCAAGUCGAACGAAGCACCUUACCUGAUUCUUCGGAUGAAAGUUUGGUGACUGAGUGGCGGACGGGUGAGUAACGCGUGGGUAACCUGCCCUGUACAGGGGGAUAACAGCUGGAAACGGCUGCUAAUACCGCAUAAGCGCACGAGGAGACAUCUCCUUGUGUGAAAAACUCCGGUGGUACAGGAUGGGCCCGCGUCUGAUUAGCUGGUUGGCAGGGUAACGGCCUACCAAGGCAACGAUCAGUAGCCGGUCUGAGAGGAUGAACGGCCACAUUGGAACUGAGACACAGUCCAAACUCCUACGGGAGGCAGCAGUGGGGAAUAUUGCACAAUGGGGGAAACCCUGAUGCAGCAACGCCGCGUGAGUGAAGAAGUAUUUCGGUAUGUAAAGCUCUAUCAGCAGGGAAGAUAAUGACGGUACCUGACUAAGAAGCUCCGGCUAAAUACGUG
Molecule: ribosomal RNA, 477 nt
Filed under: uncultured bacterium
Lineage: Bacteria
Description: partial 16S ribosomal RNA
Rfam family: Bacterial small subunit ribosomal RNA
Source: RNAcentral